GCCCCUGUAGCUCAGAUGGAUAGAGCAUCGGUUUCCUAAACCGAUUGUCGGAGGUUCGACUCCUCUCAGGGGUA
This 74-nucleotide transfer RNA is filed under the name Elusimicrobia bacterium RIFOXYC2_FULL_34_12. RNAcentral describes it as "tRNA-Arg". It matches the Rfam family "tRNA". Rfam says of the family: Transfer RNA (tRNA) molecules are approximately 80 nucleotides in length. Lineage: Bacteria; Pseudomonadati; Elusimicrobiota. RNAcentral also lists the same sequence under 1 other name. The record is from RNAcentral.